GUGCUUGCUUCGGCAGCACAUAUACUAAAGUUGGAAUGAUACAGAGGUUAGCAUGGCUCCUGCACAAGGAUGACACUUACUGUUCCACCCCAAGACUGUUUU
Lepus europaeus (European hare) is the source of this 102-nucleotide small nuclear RNA. NCBI's taxonomy places the organism in Eukaryota, Metazoa, Chordata, Mammalia, Lagomorpha, Leporidae. The record is from RefSeq and is a predicted model, not a curated record.